GAACAGUGGAAAAAUAUGGCAGCUACGUGGAUGUAAACAGUCAAGACAAAAUGUAUUCAUAGAGUAAAUAAUUAUAACACAGUCUCUUGUCAUGAUGACUAAUCCUGCUGCUAUCGUUGAACUGAGAGGCUGUGUGGACUGAAGAGAAGAUGUAGUUGAAUAUCCUGGUUGAGCAGUACGUCUCAGAUCUGCAGCCAGGUUAUGGUGUAGCUGUCCGUGACGAUGAGAGUCGUACAUAGGUUCGCCUGUCUGUCACGAGAUGUAGGCAGGUGGUUUGCAUCUUCGGCUCAAAGAUACAAGAUUCUGCACCUCACACCAGCCACACACAGAGCACGCAAAAUAGGCAUUGUCCUUGUUCUUACAUGUACUUG
Molecule: long non-coding RNA, 371 nt
Organism: Gigantopelta aegis
Lineage: Eukaryota; Metazoa; Mollusca; Gastropoda; Neomphalida; Peltospiridae
Exons: 3
Source: RefSeq, a predicted model, not a curated record